CCUACGGGAGGCAGCAGUGAGGAAUAUUGGUCAAUGGGCGGGAGCCUGAACCAGCCAAGCCGCGUGCAGGAAGACGGCGCCACGCGUUGUAAACUGCUUUUGUCGGGGAACAAAGGGCCCUACGUGUGGCGUUUUGAGUGUACCGGAAGAAAAAGGACCGGCUAAUUCCGUGCCAGCAGCCGCGGUAAUACGGAAGAUCCGAGCGUUAUCCGGAUUUAUUGGGUUUAAAGGGAGCGUAGGGCGGACGUCAAGCUGGAGGUGAAAUGCCCGGGCUCAACCCCGGCCGGGCGGGGGAAACUGUCGGACUAGAGACGGCGGAAAGUACGCGGAAUGCGUGGUGUAGCGGUGAAAUGCAUAGAUAUGGCGCAGAACUCCGAUUGCGAAGGCAGCGUACCGGCGCCGGACUGACGCUGAGGCACGAAAGCGUGGGUAUCGAACAGGAUUAGAUACCCUUGUAGUC
Molecule: ribosomal RNA, 460 nt
Filed under: uncultured bacterium
Lineage: Bacteria
Description: partial 16S ribosomal RNA
Rfam family: Bacterial small subunit ribosomal RNA
Source: RNAcentral